This is a long non-coding RNA of Numida meleagris (helmeted guineafowl), 973 nucleotides long. RefSeq lists it as uncharacterized. The record is from RefSeq and is a predicted model, not a curated record. Lineage: Eukaryota; Metazoa; Chordata; Aves; Galliformes; Numididae. The transcript has 2 exons.
CGGAGCCGUGCCAUCAGAGGGACGCUUUCUGCGCACGCUAUCUCCAGCGUUCUAUACAGAGCGUGAGGCGGGCUCUAGCCCGGUUUCUGGAGAGGUGAGAGCUCGUGCUAAAGCUAUUUGGUGGGCUUUCAUGAGCAUCUCCUAAAGCUGUUGACUGCCCUGAUCUUUGUGGUAUUUAAUGUGGUGAAAAGUACUGCAACCUCUGAACUCAGAACGGCUGGCUGUUCUUAGUCCAUCGUUUCAUGAAGGUCAGCAUUGUGACCGAGGCAGGUGCUUGGUAGUAGGACUGCUGUGACUGAGUAACGUGGCACUCUUGCUUUGCAACAGCAAUACGUGGAAUCACGGAAUAUCCCGAGCUGGGAAAGGACCCACCAGGAUCAUCCAGCCCAAGUUCUGGCUCCGUGCAAGACCCACACCUAUAGUUAAAUACUAAGGCGUAACAGAACGCAGCAAGGAGCUGUGUCAGGAUUUGAUGUAGUCCUUUGGUGUUUAAUGUGGCAGGAGCGUCUUAUGCUCAGAAUACUUCUCGUGUUUACUUUUGGCAGGAUGCUUGGCAAUUUAACAGACCUUUCUUCAGGUUGGGCUGACUGGGGGAAGAAAGGUCAGCGGAACUUACUGUUUAAAAAUCUCCCUCUGCGGAAUUGGCGGGUGAAAGUGGGAGGUCCUUCCUCACCUUCUAGCUUACAAGCCACGUUUGCAUCUCAGCAGUUUUAAAGAAUGACAGCAGAGGGGCAUUCUGACAAAAUAGCGUCCGCAGUGGAAGUGCAGAUGAAGCAGAAAUGUGUGACUGAUUUUUCUCCAUGAGGAAAAAAAUUGCCUUCAUUGACAUUCAUGGAUGCUUGCUGAGCUUUUAUGGAGACUAAACAGUGAAUGUGAGCACAGUGAGGUAGGUGGGUAGUACGUUUCAGCAGUGAUAAUAGUGACAUGAAAGAUAAUCCAUGUUCUGGACAGCUCUCCAGAUUUUUCCAAGUGU